RNAcentral lists this transfer RNA (91 nucleotides) under Deinococcus soli (ex Cha et al. 2016). RNAcentral describes it as "tRNA-Ser". The record is from RNAcentral. Lineage: Bacteria; Thermotogati; Deinococcota; Deinococci; Deinococcales; Deinococcaceae.
GGAAGGGGUCCGGCUGGUCGAGGACCCUGCUUGGAAAGCAGGUGCGUGCCGUCACGGCGCGUCGGGGGAUCAUGGCCCCUCCCUUCCUCCA